CAAAGGCUUGGUCCUGACUUUAUUAUCAACUUUAGCUAAAUUUACACAUGCAAGUAUCCGCAUCCCCGUGAGAAUGCCCUACAGUUCCCCGCCCGGGAACAAGGAGCUGGUAUCAGGCACAUAGUAUUGAAGCCCAUGACACCUUGCUUAGCCACACCCCCAAGGGAACUCAGCAGUGAUAAACAUUAAGCCAUAAGUGAAAACUUGACUUAGUUAGAGCUAAGAGGGCCGGUAAAACUCGUGCCAGCCACCGCGGUUAUACGAGAGGCUCAAGUUGAUUAACCCCGGCGUAAAGAGUGGUUAAGAUGAACUAUAAACUAAAGCCGAAUGCCCUCAAAGCCGUUAUACGCACUCGAAGGAAAGAAGCUCAAUCACGAAAGUAGCUUUACAUCACCUGAACCCACGAAAGCUAUGAAACAAACUGGGAUUAGAUACCCCACUAUGCCUAGCCCUAAACAUUGAUAGCAUCCUACAUCUGCUAUCCGCCUGGGAACUACGAGCUUUAGCUUGAAACCCAAAGGACUUGGCGGUGCUUUAGAUCCACCUAGAGGAGCCUGUUCUAGAACCGAUAACCCCCGUUUAACCUCACCCCUCCUUGUUAUCCCCGCCUAUAUACCGCCGUCGUCAGCUUACCCUGUGAAGGCCUCAUAGUAAGCAAAAUUGGCAGAGCCCAAAACGUCAGGUCGAGGUGUAGCGUAUGGAGGGGGAAGAAAUGGGCUACAUUCCCUACAUUAGGGAAUACGAACGACGUACUGAAAUCUUACGUCCAAAGGAGGAUUUAGCAGUAAAUAGAAAAUAGAGAGUUCUACUGAAAUCGGCCCUGAAGCGCGCACACACCGCCCGUCACUCUCCCCAAGCCUAAUAAUUUUAAUAACUAAAACCCUAAGAUCGCAAAGGGGAGGCAAGUCGUAACAUGGUAAGUGUACCGGAAGGUGCACUUGGUAAAAC
RNAcentral lists this non-coding RNA (948 nucleotides) under Pomoxis nigromaculatus (black crappie). Its description in RNAcentral is "12S ribosomal RNA". It matches the Rfam family "Bacterial small subunit ribosomal RNA". The record is from RNAcentral. Lineage: Eukaryota; Metazoa; Chordata; Actinopteri; Centrarchiformes; Centrarchidae. RNAcentral also lists the same sequence under 1 other name.